CCCGCUUCUAUAGUUGUCCAUCGCUUUUGCUAGGGCAUUUCUCCAUUUUCCCAACUCUUUAUUCAAGAUUUUCCACCUACUGGAUAACGUCAUCUCCGUACGAGUAGACCCCGGAAUUUUUUCACAAAAUUCGGCAUGAAUUUUUUUCCACAUAUGAAAAAAUUUCAUCUCAUUGCCGGACACGGGACAAUGACAAAUUUGGAGCCAAGCCUCACACAAUGAAACAUCUCCCAUGGUGCUCCAAGCCCCUCCGGUUUCGAUAGAAGAAGCCAUAAAAAUGU
Molecule: long non-coding RNA, 281 nt
Filed under: Prunus persica (peach)
Lineage: Eukaryota; Viridiplantae; Streptophyta; Magnoliopsida; Rosales; Rosaceae
Description: long non-coding RNA (PPER_LNC002566)
Source: RNAcentral